AAUAGGAGACGAGAGGAUCCGCGAAUAUCCUUCGAACUCGAAGGAUAUCCCAUAAUAGGGAGUAUCUCCUACUUUUUCUUUUAAUUUACGCUUUCCAUUUAUUUUAUUUUCUUGCAUAUCCCGGGACUUGCAUGCAUUAAUUUUGUUCCUAAAUUUUAUACUAACUUGUUUUUUAAGUGUUUUUAUUUUGUAGGUAAAGCUUAUGGGAGACGAGAGGAUCCGCGAAUAUCCUUCGAACUCGAAGGAUAUCCCAUAAUAGGGAGUAUCUCCUACUUUUUCUUUUAAUUUACGCUUUCCAUUUAUUUUAUUUUCUUGCAUAUCCCGGGACUUGCAUGCAUUAAUUUUGUUCCUAAAUUUUAUACUAACUUGUUUUUUAAAUUGUGUUUUUAUUUUGUAGGUAAAGCUUAUGGGAGACGAGAGGAUCCGCGAAUAUCCUUCGAACUCGAAGGAUAUCCCAUAAUAGGGAGUAUCUCCUACUUUUUCUUUUAAUUUACGCUUUCCAUUUAUUUUAUUUUCUUGCAUAUCCCGGGACUUGCAUGCAUUAAUUUUGUUCCUAAAUUUUAUACUAACUUGUUUUUUAAGUGUGUUUUUAUUUUGUAGGUAAAGCUUAUGGGAGACGAGAGGAUCCGCGAAUAUCCUUCGAACUCGAAGGAUAUCCAAUAAUAGGAAGUAUCUCCUACUUUUUCUUUUAAUUUACGCUUUCCAUUUAUUUUAUUUUCUUGCAUAUCCCGGGACUUGCAUGCAUUAAUUUUGUUCCUAAAUUUUAUACUAACUUGUUUUUUAAGUGUUUUUAUUUUGUAGGUAAAGCUUAUGGGAGACGAGAGGAUCCGCGAAUAUCCUUCGAACUCGAAGGAUAUCCCAUAAUAGGGAGUAUCUCCUACUUUUUCUUUUAAUUUACGCUUUCCAUUUAUUUUAUUUUCUUGCAUAUCCCGGGACUUGCAUGCAUUAAUUUUGUUCCUAAAUUUUAUACUAACUUGUUUUUUAAGUGUUUUUAUUUUGUAGGUAAAGCUUAUGGGAGACGAGAGGAUCCGCGAAUAUCCUUCGAACUCGAAGGAUAUCCCAUAAUAGGGAGUAUCUCCUACGUUUUCUUUUAAUUUACACUUUCCAUUUAUUUUAUUUUCUUGCAUAUCCCGGGACUUGCAUGCAUUAAUUUUGUUCCUAAAUUUUAUACUAACUUGUUUUUUAAUGUGUUUUUAUUUUGUAGGUAAAGCUUAUGGGAGACGAGAGGAUCCGCGAAUAUCCUUCGAACUCGAAGGAUAUCCCAUAAUAGGGAGUAUCUCCUACUUUUUCUUUUAAUUUACGCUUUCCAUUUAUUUUAUUUUCUUGCAUAUCCCGGGACUUGCAUGCAUUAAUUUUGUUCCUAAAUUUUAUACUAACUUAUUUUUAAAGUGUUUUUAUUUUGUAGGUAAAGCUUAUGGGAGACGAGAGGAUCCGCGAAUAUCCUUCGAACUCGAGGGAUAUCCCAUAAUAGGAAGUAAAGCUUAUAGGAGACGAGAGGAUGCGCGAAGAUCCUUCGAACUCCAUUUUAAACCAAAGAUGCAUACGAGAAAAAAUGGCCGGAUGAUCGGACCACCGAUCCCAUAAUAGGGAGAAUCUCGUACUUUUUCUUUUAAUUUAUGCUUUCCAUUUAUUUUAUAAUGUUGCAUAUAGUAAUAGAAUCAUGUUUACGUCCCGGGACUUGCAUGCAUUAAUUAUAUUUCUAAAUUUUAUACUACCUUGUUUUUUAAUUGUUUUUUUUUUGCAGGUUAAGCUUAUAGGAGACGAGAGGAUGCGCAAAGAUCCUUCGAACUCGAUUUCAAACCCAAGAUGUAUACGAGAGAAAGUGAUCGGACGACCGAUCCCACAAUAGGGAGUAUCUCGUACUUUUUCUAUUAAUUUAUGCUUUCCAUUUAUUUUAUUAUGUUGCAUAUAGUAAUUGAAUCAUGUUUACGUCCCGGGACUUGCAUGCAUUAGUUUUGUUUCUAAAUUUUAUACUAACUUAUUUUUCAAGUGUUUUUUUUUUUGCACGUAAAGCUUAUAGGAGACGAGAGGAUGCGCAAAGAUCUUUCGAACUCCAUUUCAAACCCAAGAUGCAUACGAGAGAAAAUGAUCGGACGACCGAUUCCACAAUAGGGAGUAUCCCGUACUUUUUCUUUUAAUUUAUGCUUUCCAUUUAUUUUAUUAUGUUGGAUAUAGUAAUAGAAUCAUGUUUACGUCCCGGGACUUGCAUGCAUUAGUUUUGUUUCUAAAUUUUAUACUAACUUGUUUUUUAAGUGUUUUUCUUUUGUAGGUAAACCUUAUAGGAGACGAGAGGAUGCGCGAAGAUCCUUCGAACUCGAUUUCAAACCCAAGAUGCAUACGAGAGAAAAUGGCCGGAUGAUCGGACGACCGAUCCCAUAAUAGGGAGAAUCUCGUACUUUUUCUUUAAUUUACGUUUUACAUUUAUUUUAUUAUCUUGCAUAUAGUAAUAGAAUCAUGUUUACGUCCCGGGACUUGCAUGCAUUAAUUUUGUUUUUAAAUUUUAUACUAACUUGUUUUUCAACUUUUUUUUUUUUUGCAGGUAAAGCUUAUGGGAGACGAGAGGAUCCGCGAAGAUCCUUCGAACUCGAUUUUAAACCCAAGGACCAAGCUCAGAGAUAGGGGGAGCAGAAAUCGGCUGUGAGAAGCAUUGUUAUGGAAAUAUCUUGGAAGGAUGAAUAUGAUGAACAGAAACAAUACGAUGAACGUAAAGUUACCACUUUACAUUGUCUAUUAGACGGACUUUAGCAAACUGCCUCUUUUCUGUGAAAGAGAAUUCCAAACCAUCAUCUAGCUGAAUCACAAAUGGAAACACAGAUUAAUAUUAAUGUAAUAAUAGCAUCAAAUGCAUUAUAUAUAUUUCAUAGUCUAAAACUUAAA
Long non-coding RNA from Andrographis paniculata, 2877 nucleotides. RefSeq lists it as uncharacterized. The record is from RefSeq and is a predicted model, not a curated record. NCBI's taxonomy places the organism in Eukaryota, Viridiplantae, Streptophyta, Magnoliopsida, Lamiales, Acanthaceae. The transcript has 11 exons.